GACGAACGCUGGCGGCGUGCUUAACACAUGCAAGUCGAACGGAAAGGCCCUGCUUUUGUGGGGUGCUCGAGUGGCGAACGGGUGAGUAACACGUGAGUAACCUGCCCUUGACUUUGGGAUAACUUCAGGAAACUGGGGCUAAUACCGGAUAGGAGCUCCUGCUGCAUGGUGGGGGUUGGAAAGUUUCGGCGGUUGGGGAUGGACUCGCGGCUUAUCAGCUUGUUGGUGGGGUAGUGGCUUACCAAGGCUUUGACGGGUAGCCGGCCUGAGAGGGUGACCGGCCACAUUGGGACUGAGAUACGGCCCAGACUCCUACGGGAGGCAGCAGUGGGGAAUAUUGCACAAUGGGCGGAAGCCUGAUGCAGCAACGCCGCGUGCGGGAUGACGGCCUUCGGGUUGUAAACCGCCUUCGCCUGUGACGAAGCGUGAGUGACGGUAAUGGGUAAAGAAGCACCGGCUAGCUACGUG
Molecule: ribosomal RNA, 468 nt
Filed under: uncultured bacterium
Lineage: Bacteria
Description: partial 16S ribosomal RNA
Rfam family: Bacterial small subunit ribosomal RNA
Source: RNAcentral